RNAcentral lists this ribosomal RNA (253 nucleotides) under uncultured bacterium. RNAcentral describes it as "partial 16S ribosomal RNA". It matches the Rfam family "Bacterial small subunit ribosomal RNA", at positions 524 to 776 of the family's 1533-position model. The record is from RNAcentral.
UACGUAGGGGGCAAGCGUUGUCCGGAAUUAUUGGGCGUAAAGAGCGCGUAGGCGGUCCGAUAAGUCGGCUGUGAAAGUCAGGGGCUCAACCCUUGAAAGCCGGCCGAUACUGUCAGACUAGAGUCCGGAAGAGGCAAGUGGAAUUCCCGGUGUAGCGGUGAAAUGCGCAGAUAUCGGGAGGAACACCAAUGGCGAAGGCAGCUUGCUGGGACGGUACUGACGCUGAGGCGCGAAAGCGUGGGGAGCAAACAGG